GUGAGGAAUUUUCCGCAAUGGGCGAAAGCCUGACGGAGCAAUGCCGCGUGAAGGAUGAAGGCCUAUGGGUUGUAAACUUCUUUUCUCAGAAAAGAAUUAUGACGGUAUCUGAGGAAUAAGCAUCGGCUAACUCUGUGCCAGCAGCCGCGGUAAGACAGAGGAUGCAAGCGUUAUCCGGAAUGAUUGAGCGUAAAGCGUCUGUAGGUUGUUUAAAAAGUAUUCUGUCAAAGAUUAGGGCUUAACCCUAGAUAGGCAGAAUAAACUUUUAAGCUAGAGUUUGGUAGAGGCAGAGGGAAUUCCCGGUGGAGCGGUGAAAUGCGUAGAUAUCGGGAGGAACACCAAAGGCGAAGGCACUCUGCUGGGCCAAUACUAACACUGAGAGACGAAAGCGAGGGGAGCAAAUGGGAUUAGAAACCCCUGUAGUCC
Molecule: ribosomal RNA, 426 nt
Filed under: uncultured bacterium
Lineage: Bacteria
Description: partial 16S ribosomal RNA
Rfam family: Bacterial small subunit ribosomal RNA
Source: RNAcentral